GUUGCCGCAAAAUCGGCAGCCGGGCGUGAGAACCCGUGUAACUCGAAGGCGACAUAUGACGCGCCAUGCGUCUUUUUU
Molecule: non-coding RNA, 78 nt
Organism: Enterobius vermicularis (human pinworm)
Lineage: Eukaryota; Metazoa; Nematoda; Chromadorea; Rhabditida; Oxyuridae
Source: Rfam